This 72-nucleotide transfer RNA is filed under the name Marmota monax (woodchuck). RNAcentral's name for it is "tRNA.Met". Lineage: Eukaryota; Metazoa; Chordata; Mammalia; Rodentia; Sciuridae. The record is from RNAcentral.
GGUAGGUGUAGCUUAGUGGUAGAACAUAUGCUUCAUGUGCUUUAGGCCCUGGGUCCAAUCCCCAGUACUCCA